RNAcentral lists this ribosomal RNA (189 nucleotides) under Triticum aestivum (bread wheat). RNAcentral's name for it is "partial small subunit ribosomal RNA". The record is from RNAcentral. Lineage: Eukaryota; Viridiplantae; Streptophyta; Magnoliopsida; Poales; Poaceae.
AUGGCCUCCAAGAUCUUCCGCGCCGUCGUCAUCGCGGCCGUCGCCGUGUCUUCCUUCGCCGGGGUCGCUCUGGCCGCCGACGAGCCCGCGCCCAGCCCGACGUCCGGCGCCGCAGCUGUCUCCUCGUCGCUCGUCGCCGCCGUGCUCUGCCCGGCCGUGGCGUUCCUCGUUGGCAGCAUGCGCCACUGA